ACGAACGCUGGCGGCGUGCUUCACACAUGCAAGUCGCACGGAAAGGCCCUGCUUUUGUGGGGUGCUCGAGUGGCGAACGGGUGAGUAACACGUGAGUAACCUGCCCUUGACUUUGGGAUAACUUCAGGAAACUGGGGCUAAUACCGGAUAGGAGCUCCUGCUGCAUGGUGGGGGUUGGAAAGUUUCGGCGGUUGAGGAUGGACUCGCGGCUUAUCAGCUUGUUGGUGGGGUAGUGGCUUACCAAGGCUUUGACGGGUAGCCGGCCUGAGAGGGUGACCGGCCACAUUGGGACUGAGAUACGGCCCAGACUCCUACGGGAGGCAGCAGUGGGGAAUAUUGCACAAUGGGCGGAAGCCUGAUGCAGCAACGCCGCGUGCGGGAUGACGGCCUUCGGGUUGUAAACCGCUUUCGCCUGUGACGAAGCGUGAGUGACGGUAAUGGGUAAAGAAGCACCGGCUAACUACGUG
RNAcentral lists this ribosomal RNA (467 nucleotides) under uncultured bacterium. RNAcentral's name for it is "partial 16S ribosomal RNA". It matches the Rfam family "Bacterial small subunit ribosomal RNA", at positions 29 to 507 of the family's 1533-position model. The record is from RNAcentral.